CCUACGGGAGGCAGCAGUAGGGAAUAUUGCACAAUGGAGGAAACUCUGAUGCAGCGACGCCGCGUGAGUGAUGACGGCUUUAGGGUUGUAAAGCUCUGUUCUCGGGAAAACGGUACCCGAGGAGAAAGGACCGGCUAACUUCGUGCCAGCAGCCGCGGUAAGACGAGGGGUCCAAGCGUUGUUCGGAAUUAUUGGGCGUAAAGCGGGUGUAGGUGGCUUUGUAAGUCAGGAGUGAAAGCCCUAGGCUCAACCUAGGAAGUGCUUUUGAUACUGCAAAGCUUGAGUGUGGGAGAGGAUGCUGGAAUUCCAGGUGUAGUGGUGAAAUACGUAGAUAUCUGGAGGAACACCGGUGGCGAAGGCGGGCAUCUGGCCCAAACUGACACUCAGACCCGAAAGCAUGGGGAUCAAACAGGAUUAGAUACCCUAGUAGUC
RNAcentral lists this ribosomal RNA (432 nucleotides) under uncultured bacterium. RNAcentral describes it as "partial 16S ribosomal RNA". It matches the Rfam family "Bacterial small subunit ribosomal RNA", at positions 338 to 795 of the family's 1533-position model. The record is from RNAcentral.